Molecule: ribosomal RNA, 820 nt
Filed under: uncultured eukaryote
Lineage: Eukaryota
Description: bacterial SSU rRNA
Rfam family: Eukaryotic small subunit ribosomal RNA
Source: RNAcentral
UUUAUGAAUUUAUCUUAACUAUCUUUCUUACUCUGGUACUUUCACUUUGAGGAAAUUAGAGGUUUCAAGCAGCUUGCGCUUGUAUAUUUUAGCAUGGAAUAAUAAUUUAGGACUUCGGUUCUAUUUUGUUGGUUCUAGAACUUGAAGAAUGAUUAAUAGGGACAGUCGGGGGCAUUCGUACUCAACAGUCAGAGGGAAAAUUCUUGGAUUUGUUGGAGACGAACUACUGCGAAAGCAUUUGCCAAGGAUGUUUUCAUUGAUCAAGAACGAAAGUUAGGGGAUCGAAGACGAUUAGAUACCGUCCUAGUCUUAACCAUAAACGAUGCCGACUAGCGAUGGGAGGUUGUUCAAUGACAUCUCCAGCAGCUCGUGAGAGAUCAAAGUCUUUGGGUUCCGGGGGGAGUAUGGUCGCAAGGCUGAAACUUAAAGGGAUUGACGGAAGGGCACCACCAGGAGGGGAGCCUGCGGUUUAAUUUGACUCAACACGGGAAACCUCACCAGGUCAAGGCAUGGGAAGGAUUGACAGAUUGAUAGCUCUUUCUUGAUUCUAUUGGUGGGGGUGCAUGGCCGGUCUUAGUGGGGGGAGGGAUUUGUCUGGUUAAUUCGGUUACCGGACGAGACCUUAGCCUGCUAAUUAGUUGUAGCUAACUUCGGGUAGGAGACAGCUUCUUAGAAGGGAAUUCGUGUGUUUAACACGAGGAAGUUUGGAGGCAAAUAACAGGGCCUGUGAUGGCCCUUAGAUGGUCCUGGCCUGCACCCGCCCCUACACUGGACACGGCCGGCAAGUUUGUUCUGGGCCCGAAAGAUUGGGAUAACCUUA